Molecule: ribosomal RNA, 406 nt
Filed under: Theileria ovis
Lineage: Eukaryota; Apicomplexa; Aconoidasida; Piroplasmida; Theileriidae
Description: SSU rRNA
Rfam family: Eukaryotic small subunit ribosomal RNA
Source: RNAcentral
GCUCACAGGGAAGGGAGUGACAAGAAAUAACAAUACGGGGCUUAAUGUCUUGUAAUUGGAAUGAUGGGAAUUUAAACCUCUUCCAGAGUAUCAAUUGGAGGGCAAGUCUGGUGCCAGCAGCCGCGGUAAUUCCAGCUCCAAUAGCGUAUAUUAAAAUUGUUGCAGUUAAAAAGCUCGUAGUUGAAUUUCUGCUGCAUUGCUUUUGCUCCUUUACGAGUCUUUGCAUUGUGGCUUAUUUCGGACUUUGUUUUACAAUGUCCGGAUGUUUACUUUGAGAAAAUUAGAGUGCUCAAAGCAGGCUUUCGCCUUGAAUAGUUUAGCAUGGAAUAAUAAAGUAGGACUUUGGUUCUAUUUUGUUGGUUUUAGGUACCAAAGUAAUGGUUAAUAGGAACAGUGGGGCAAAAUG